GACGAACGCUGGCGGCGUGCUUAACACAUGCAAGUCGAACGGAAAGGCCCUGCUUUUGUGGGGUGCUCGAGUGGCGAACGGGUGAGUAACACGUGAGUAACCUGCCCUUGACUUUGGGAUAACUUCAGGAAACUGGGGCUAAUACCGGAUAGGGGCUCCUGCUGCAUGGUGGGGGUUGGAAAGUUUCGGCGGUUGGGGAUGGACUCGCGGCUUAUCAGCUUGUUGGUGGGGUAGUGGCUUACCAAGGCUUUGACGGGUAGCCGGCCUGAGAGGGUGACCGGCAACAUUGGGACUGAGAUACGGCCCAGACUCCUACGGGAGGCAGCAGUGGGGAAUAUUGCACAAUGGGCGGAAGCCUGAUGCAGCAACGCCGCGUGCGGGAUGACGGCCUUCGGGUUGUAAACCGCUUUCGCCUGUGACGAAGCGUGAGUGACGGUAAUGGGUAAAGAAGCACCGGCUAACUACGUG
Molecule: ribosomal RNA, 468 nt
Filed under: uncultured bacterium
Lineage: Bacteria
Description: partial 16S ribosomal RNA
Rfam family: Bacterial small subunit ribosomal RNA
Source: RNAcentral